GAUCCUGGCUCACGAUGAACGCUAGCUACAGGCUUAACACAUGCAAGUCGAGGGGCAGCAUUGAACUUAGCUUGCUAAGUUUGAUGGCGACCGGCGCACGGGUGAGUAACACGUAUCCAACCUGCCGAUGACUCGGGGAUAGCCUUUCGAAAGAAAGAUUAAUACCCGAUGGCAUAGUUCUUCCGCAUGGUAGAACUAUUAAAGGAUUUCGGUCAUCGAUGGGGAUGCGUUCCAUUUAGGG
Molecule: ribosomal RNA, 241 nt
Filed under: uncultured bacterium
Lineage: Bacteria
Description: partial 16S ribosomal RNA
Rfam family: Bacterial small subunit ribosomal RNA
Source: RNAcentral